AUUCCAGCUCCAAUAGCGUAUAUUAAAGUUGUUGCGGUUAAAAAGCUCGUAGUUGGAGUUCUGCCAGGUGCCGCCUGUCCGCCCCAGUGGUGAGUACGUGGCGCGCAUUUGGCCCUUUCAAGGGGAGCGUAUUGCACUUAACUGUGUGGUGCGGGAUCCUUGACUUUUACUUUGAGGAAAUAAGAGUGUUCCAAGCAGGCUCUCGUCGUGCAUAGCUCAGCAUGGAAUAAUAGCAUUGGAUCUCGAUUCCAAACUGUUGGUUGUAGGAAACGAGAUAAUGAUGAAGAGGGAUAGUUGGGGGCAUUCGUAUUUAACUGUCAGAGGUGAAAUUCUUGGAUUUGUUAAAGACGAACUACUGCGAAAGCAUCUGCCAUGGAUGUUUUCAUUA
This 388-nucleotide ribosomal RNA is filed under the name Syndiniales sp. RNAcentral's name for it is "partial small subunit ribosomal RNA". It matches the Rfam family "Eukaryotic small subunit ribosomal RNA", at positions 582 to 975 of the family's 1831-position model. The record is from RNAcentral. Lineage: Eukaryota; Dinophyceae; Syndiniales.